AUACGGAGGAUCCGAGCGUUAUCCGGAUUUAUUGGGUUUAAAGGGUGCGCAGGCGGCCAUUUAAGUCAGCGGUUAAAUCGUGGGGCUCAACCCCACUCUGCCGUUGAUACUGCGUGGCUUGAUUGCGGUCGAGGUUGGCGGAAUUCGUUGUGGAGCGGUGAAAUGCAUAGAUAUCACGAAGAACUCCGAUCGCGAAGGCAGCCUUCCGGCCCGUCAACGACGCUCAUGCUCGAAGGUGCGGGUAUUAAACAGGAUUAGAUACCCUGGUAGUCCGCACAGUAAACGAUGGACACCCGCGGUUUGGCCUAUAUGGCUGAGCCGCCAAGCGAAAGCGUUAAGUGUCCCACCUGGGGAGUACGCCGGCAACGGUGAAACUCAAAUGAAUUGACGGGG
This 393-nucleotide ribosomal RNA is filed under the name uncultured bacterium. RNAcentral's name for it is "partial 16S ribosomal RNA". It matches the Rfam family "Bacterial small subunit ribosomal RNA", at positions 523 to 918 of the family's 1533-position model. The record is from RNAcentral.